UCAUCAUCCCUUGAUUGUGAAACAUUCUCCCUUUAACCUUUUUUAUAAUUUUUCUUUGGAAUUCCUAAAGCAGUAGUGGAAUUAGUUAGAUAGACUCCCACUUUCCCAUUAAAACUCCUAGUUUGGCCUACUUGUAAAUGCUGCUCUCUAAUCAAACUCCCCUUUCCCACUAAAAAUUUCCUACUCAUUGCCAACUCAAGGAUCAAUCUAUCCAAACCCUUAAAGUCUCCAAUUAACCAUCGAAUCUCUUCCAAAAUUAACUCCUUACCCACUGUUUGACUAUCUGAAUUUCUCUCCUCAUUGUCCAUGCACGCACCUCUUUUCCUCCUAAGAGCCUCCAACACAUGUACUGACUCAUAUUCUUUAUAAAAGGUUCCUUA
This 380-nucleotide long non-coding RNA is filed under the name Phoenix dactylifera (date palm). RNAcentral describes it as "long non-coding RNA (PDAC_LNC007334)". The record is from RNAcentral. Lineage: Eukaryota; Viridiplantae; Streptophyta; Magnoliopsida; Arecales; Arecaceae.